Molecule: long non-coding RNA, 520 nt
Organism: Oncorhynchus tshawytscha (Chinook salmon)
Lineage: Eukaryota; Metazoa; Chordata; Actinopteri; Salmoniformes; Salmonidae
Source: Ensembl
GGAGGGAAAGGCAGGGGAGAGCAGAGAGAGAGGUGAUGGGGAAGACAGGGAGGGAAAGGCAGGGGAGAGCAGAGAGGUUAUGGGGAAGACAGGGAGGGAAAGGCAGGUGAGAGCAGAGAGGUGAUGGGGAAGGCAGGGGAGAGCAGAGAGGUGAUGGGGAAGACAGGGAGGGAAAGGCAGGGAGAGCAGAGAGAGAGGUGAUGGGGAAGACAGGGGAAAGGCAGGGGAGAGCAGAGACAGAAGUGAUGGGGAAGACAGGGAGGGAAAGGCAGGGGAGAGCAGAGAGAGGUGAUGGGGAAGGCAGGGGAGAGCAGAGAGAGAAGUGAUGGGGAAGACAGGGAGGGAAAGGCAGGGGAGAGCAGAGGGAGAAGUGAUGGGGAAGACAAGGAGGGAAAGGCAGGGGAGAGCAGAGAGAGGUGAUGGGGAAGACAGGGGGGAAAGGCAGGGGAGAGCAGAGAGAGAGGUGAUGGGGAAGACAGGGGGAUGGGGAAGGCAGGGGAGAGCAGAUAGAGAAGUGAUG